RNAcentral lists this ribosomal RNA (301 nucleotides) under uncultured bacterium. Its description in RNAcentral is "partial 16S ribosomal RNA". It matches the Rfam family "Bacterial small subunit ribosomal RNA", at positions 509 to 807 of the family's 1533-position model. The record is from RNAcentral.
CAGCAGCCGCGGUAAUGCGAAGGGGGCUAGCGUUGUUCGGAAUUACUGGGCGUAAAGCGCACGUAGGCGGAUUUUUAAGUCAGGGGUGAAGUCCCGAGGCUCAACCUCGGAACUGCCUUUGAUACUGGAGAUCUUGAGUUCGGAAGAGGUUGGUGGAACAGCUAGUGUAGAGGUGAAAUUCGUAGAUAUUAGCUAGAACACCAGUGGCGAAGGCGGCCAACUGGUCCGAUACUGACGCUGAGGUGCGAAAGCGUGGGGAGCAAACAGGAUUAGAUACCCCAGUAGUCCCUGUCUCUUAUAC